Molecule: non-coding RNA, 21 nt
Filed under: Caenorhabditis elegans
Lineage: Eukaryota; Metazoa; Nematoda; Chromadorea; Rhabditida; Rhabditidae
Source: RNAcentral
UGUAUUGGAAAUCUGAAAAUU